Molecule: ribosomal RNA, 253 nt
Filed under: uncultured bacterium
Lineage: Bacteria
Description: partial 16S ribosomal RNA
Rfam family: Bacterial small subunit ribosomal RNA
Source: RNAcentral
UACGAAGGGGGCUAGCGUUGCUCGGAAUUACUGGGCGUAAAGGGCGCGUAGGCGGAUAUUUAAGUUGGGGGUGAAAUCCCGGGGCUCAACCUCGGAAUUGCCUUCAAAACUGGAUAUCUUGAGUUCGGGAGAGGUGAGUGGAACUCCUGGUGUAGCGGUGAAAUGCGCAGAUAUCAGGAGGAACACCAAUGGCGAAGGCAGCUCACUGGGACGGUAUUGACGCUGAGACGCGAAAGCGUGGGGAGCAAACAGG